This 92-nucleotide microRNA precursor is filed under the name Loxodonta africana (African savanna elephant). Its description in RNAcentral is "mir-1388 microRNA precursor family". It matches the Rfam family "mir-1388 microRNA precursor family". The record is from Rfam by way of RNAcentral. Lineage: Eukaryota; Metazoa; Chordata; Mammalia; Proboscidea; Elephantidae.
CCUUGGGCAGUGCCUCCAGGACUGUCCGACCUGAGAAUGCCAGGCUCCAGGCUCAAUCUCAGGUCCGUCAGCCCGAGAGGUGCUGCCCUACC